GAUGAACGCUGGCGGCGUGCCUAAUACAUGCAAGUCGAGCGAACGGACGAGAAGUUUGCUUCUCUGAUGUUAGCGGCGGACGGGUGAGUAACACGUGGAUAACCUACCUUUAAGACUGGGAUAACUUCGGGAAUCCGGAGCUAAUACCGGAUGAUAUUUUGAACCGCAUGGUGCAAAAGAGAAAGACGGUCUUGCUGUCACUUAUAGAUGGUUCUCCGCUGCAUUAGCUAGUUGGUAAGGUAACGGCUUACCAAGGCAACGAGGCAUAGCCGACCUGACAGGGUGAUCGGCCACACUGGAACUGAGACACGGUCCUGACUCCUACGGUAGGCAGCAGUAGGCAAUCGUCCGCAAUGGGCGAGAGCCUUACGGAGCAACGCCGCGUGAGUUAUGAAGGUCUUCGGAUCGUAAUGCUCUGUUAUUAGGUAAGAACAUAUGUGGAAGUAGCUGUGCACAUCUUGACGGUACCUAAUCAGAAAGCCACGGCUAACUACGUG
This 497-nucleotide ribosomal RNA is filed under the name uncultured bacterium. Its description in RNAcentral is "partial 16S ribosomal RNA". It matches the Rfam family "Bacterial small subunit ribosomal RNA", at positions 28 to 507 of the family's 1533-position model. The record is from RNAcentral.